Dermacentor andersoni is the source of this 3597-nucleotide long non-coding RNA. RefSeq lists it as uncharacterized. The record is from RefSeq and is a predicted model, not a curated record. NCBI's taxonomy places the organism in Eukaryota, Metazoa, Arthropoda, Arachnida, Ixodida, Ixodidae.
UUUCCCGUGUACUCAAACAAUUCUAAAUUUGUCACUGCACUAAGGACACUAAGCCUGUUACAUACUAAGCUGGCGGAGUUACGUCCUGCAUGAACGUUCCUUUGAAGGUUGCUGAUCGCAUUAUGCCGCAACCGCUGCAGAGGAUCGGCCGAGAAGUUAGCGGGAACCAUUUUAUCCCUCAUGUUUCAAUACAAAAGGCGCCAAGUGAUAAAGAUUGUUUGAGAUAAAGCAACAUCGCAAGUACAUAAUAAGCCUAUUUAUCUGCAUGAAAAGGGCGUACAGCACGAGCAGUAGAAGAGGCAACGACACUCUUCAGCGUGAGAUCAAAGGAGAAUACGUGAACGAACUCAUGCGCUCAACAAGCUGCAUUCUAUGAAUGUUGUAAUGCACGCAUUGUAUGCGCUGCACGCUUGCGCGCAAAUUGGAAGAAAAUGGGACAGAGUGCCCAAAGAAAACAAGGACCGAAGACGCAGAUGUUUUUACAGUGGCUCUUGGCCUAGAAGUGCCGAAACAGUACCUCGCAGAGCAACUUCAAUGCGCUAUUCGCCGCUUUUCCGCGGACAGAUAUAACGAAAAUGCACAAGAGCCACCACGGAGCAAAAAAAAAAAAAAACAGUUUGCUAUCAUCUUGAAUAAUGAUGAGAGGCGACGCAGCUGUAAAAGCGUGAAUGAAAAUUGGCCACUUUCUAAAUGUCGGCCAGAAAGGCGUAGAAGGACGUGAAUUCCAGACACGAACUUUCGCCUAUUGGCACCCUGCAAUGCAGUUUGGCUGUACACGUUGCGCCACCCAGCAGCGGCGGUGAGCACCCGCGGGCAGGCCUUCGCCGCCGCGGCAGCUUUGUCCGUAUUGCGCUCAAGCGCGCCUGACAGCCUCGUUUUCUAAUUUUGCAAUGGAUUUACCGCAGCCUCUCGGCAGCUCCUCUGUGAGAGGUUUGACGAAGAAGAACAAGCGCAGAUAUUGCUGCGUUAAGGAUUGCCACAACUGCGAAGGGGAUGACGGCAUCAAAUUCUACCGCUUCCCUUCAAGUCCGUGGGAAGCAACCCGGCGGCUGAAGUGGAUCGUCGUGGUUCCGCGCGUCAACGGUGAUGACCUCUCACAUUGGAGCCCUAAUAAGAAUACGAGAAUUUGUUCGAGGCAGUUCGUCAACGAAGAAAAAGCAACAUCGAGAAUCAUCCUGGUUACCUGCCAACAAUAUUCCCACCCGUCUACAAGAAGCGGUCCACGGCUCCUGCUGCACAGAUUUCCAGGUUCAGCAGGAAACUCAAACACCGGAGAGGAGCAACGCGACCACAAGCUUUUCAGUGUUUAUUUGCUGCACUGAAGGCAACAACCUGUCAACGCAGAUAACCUCCCACGAGACAUGCGACUGAGAAGUGCAACACACUCUGAACGUUCCCAGCAAGCACUGUGGUCCAGACCAUCGGACAAGCUAUUUUGCUGGCCACGAAAGUAUUUCAAGGAGUACAAGUGCUCUUGAGGACUUAUGUAAUGUAAGUCAGGUGAUGUUCGCCUUGCUCUUGAGGGUGUUUCCGGCCUCGACUGAGCGCAGAUGUGACGUGUCUAAAGAAGAUCGACUGCUGCUGUUCCUGAUGAAAUUGAAACUUGGCAUCAGCUAUUCAUCCCUGGCUACUCUGUUCAGCAUUAGUGAAACAUCAGCCUCACGACAUUUUAAAAGUGUCCUCAAAACCUUGGCAUUUGCUACAAAGCAAUGGAUUUUUCGUCCUGCACUCAGAGUUAUUCAGGCUACCAUGUCAGACGGUUUUAGAGCACAUUAUCUGGACUGCACAAUAGCUCGUUGCGUCGUCCUCAAUUUAAGUAGAACCCUUUUCCUAAGCCUCUAGGUUUCUGCCCCAUACGUGAGUACAGGUGAGACACAGAUGUUAUACACUUUUCUCUUGAGGAAUAAUGGCAACCUGCUGUUCAUGAUUUGAGAAUAUCUGACAAACGCACCGCAGGCCAUUCCUAUUCUUCUGAUUAUUUCAAUCUCAUGACCCGGAUCCGCGGUCACUACCUGCCCUAAGUAGAUGUAUUCCCUCACCAUUUCCAAUGCCUCGCUACCUAUCGUAAACUGCUCUUCUCUUCCGAGACCGCUAAACAUUACUUUAGUUUUCUGCAGAUUAAUUUUUAGACCCACCCUUCUGCUUUGGCUCUCCAGGUCAGUGAGCAUGCAUUGAAAUUGGUCCCCUGAGUUUUUAAGCAAGGCAAUGUCAUCAGCGAAUCGCAAGUUGCUAAGGUAUUCUCCGUUAACUCUUAUCCCUAAUUCUUCCCAAUCCAGGUCUCUGAAUACCUCCUGUAAGCACGCUGUGAAUAGCAUUGGAGAGAUCGUAUCUCCCUGCCUGACGCCUUUCUUUAUUGAGAUUUUGUUGCUUUAUCACCUACAGAUAGUGUAGGUGAUAGCAACAAAGCCACGUGCAAGUGGCUCGACAGAAAUCAUUCCAAAAAACCUUCGAGGGAGAGGGACAGAGGAGGAGCCCUAGAAACUUCAGCCAAGGGCGAGGAAUGUAAAUUUCUUAUCCAUCAGAUGCACUGACGGGACACUAAUACAUAGGUUAGCGCAACGUUUCACUGCUUCCCUUGGCGAAAAUCUUGUCUACCCGGCACAGUUAAUAUUGACAUGAGUGCUACAACAUCUGUGGAAGUAAUCCUGUUGCGUGUUGUUACUCCACAAGGUUUAAUAUAUUUGGCAUAUAAGUGGCGCCUUGACGUGACCGUCGUAGGAUAUUGUUUUUUCAUUUGUUCCACUUGUACAGCAAUAUAUAUGCUAGGAUGCAUUGUACAAUAUGUGAACUUAUUUCGGUGCUGUUAUUUCUUCUAGGUUUCCGCCGAACAUAUUUGUGUUUAUCAUAUGUGCAGUCUGCAGUAAGGCAACAAUAUGUUUGUCAUCACUUUUGUUUCACAACAUAAUUUGUUAUGUCCACUAGCUCUCAAUUCUUGUUGUUAUAGUUAUUCCUCUUUAAUUUCAUUAGCUUGCUUUGUUUACCUUGUAUGUAUGUUUUAUCAUGUGUUUAAUAUCUUUAUUUUGCACCUGAAUUUGGGCACUAUAUUGGUGCAAUGAGAAAUUAUAUAUGCACUAUCAGAAUAAAUUCAAUUGCAAACAAUUACAGAACAGCGGCACUUUGUUUUCAGGUUCACCUACAUUUUUAAUAAGCUUCAUUUACUCCAAGACGUACACUUGGCACUGCUCUGUGCUUGACAGUUUCUGUGCUUAGAAACUGGCUAGAUUAUGCUCCCACAUUGCACUUUGUAAUUACACGUAACAGGCGUUAUGAUCCGUUUUUUUCUGUUCGCAUGUUAAAUUUAACUUGAUGGUACGGUAUUCACGGAUUUUCUCUGUUGCAUGUUUCAAGGUGCGCACAUUUAAACAGUAAAAACGAAUUUCAUUGGCUGAUGCUGUUGUUGAGCAACUGUUGUAGACGAACAAAGAGCACCUGUCUUGCUUGAGUCCUGUCACCAGUGUUUGCAGAUUUAAGGCACCAGGAAGAUAUACUCACUUUUAAUCUGCCAAUAAACUUUGACACAUCUGGACAUAUUAAAAUCAGUAUUUAUUGUUCCUACUUCAUUUGACAAGCAUGAAUACGUGGGUGCAGUUUUCUUUG